CAGCAGCCACGGGAAUACGUAGGGUGCGAGCGUUAAUCGGAAUUACUGGGCGUAAAGCGUGCGCAGGCGGUUCGUUAAGACAGAUGUGAAAUCCCCGGGCUUAACCUGGGAACUGCAUUUGUGACUGGCGAGCUAGAGUAUGGCAGAGGGGGGUAGAAUUCCACGUGUAGCAGUGAAAUGCGUAGAGAUGUGGAGGAAUACCGAUGGCGAAGGCAGCCCCCUGGGCCAAUACUGACGCUCAUGCACGAAAGCGUGGGGAGCAAACAGGAUUAGAUACCCGGGUAGUCCCUGUCUCUUAUAC
Molecule: ribosomal RNA, 301 nt
Filed under: uncultured bacterium
Lineage: Bacteria
Description: partial 16S ribosomal RNA
Rfam family: Bacterial small subunit ribosomal RNA
Source: RNAcentral